Vicugna pacos (alpaca) is the source of this 3638-nucleotide non-coding RNA. The record is from RefSeq and is a predicted model, not a curated record. NCBI's taxonomy places the organism in Eukaryota, Metazoa, Chordata, Mammalia, Artiodactyla, Camelidae.
CGGCGUGCGUCCAGUGGCCUUGGCAUUUCCCUGCCCUCUGCUCCAGGCUGCAUGCCCACAGCCUCAGAGCCCAGACAGGCGGGUGAGGCCCCUGGAGGGCACCUGACCGAGGAGCCUGGCGUGAGCAGGCGGGCCACCUCCACCGACCCCUGACCACACGUGUGUCUUCCCUGCAGGCCCAGCCACCAUGGCCCAGUGCAAGGCCGAGCCGGACGACUGGCUGACCGUCUACCUGAAGUACUUACUCUUUGUCUUUAACUUCUUCUUCUGGGUGGGGGGCGCCGCCGUCAUGGCCGUGGGCGUCUGGACCCUGGUGGAGAAGAGCGGCUACCUCAGUGUCCUGGCCUCCAGCACCUUCGCCGCCUCCGCCUACAUCCUCAUCUUCGCGGGCGCCCUCGUCAUGGCGACUGGCUUCCUGGGCUUCGGCGCCGUCGUCCGUGAGGACCGGAGCUGCCUCUCCACAUACUUCUCCCUGUUGCUGGUCAUCUUCCUCGUUGAGCUGGUGGCGGGGGUGCUGGCCCACCUGUACUACCAGAGGCUGAGCGAUGAGCUAAGGCAGCACUUGACCCGGACCCUGGCAGAGAACUACCGGCAGCCCGGCGCCGCCGAGAUCACGGCCUCCGUGGACCGUCUGCAGCAGGACUUCAAAUGCUGCGGGAGCAACAGCUCAGCCGACUGGCAGCACAGCACCUACAUCCUGUCUCGGGAGGCUGAGGGCCGCCGGGUGCCCGACAGCUGCUGCAAGACGGUGGUGGCCCGUUGCGGCCAGCGGGCCCACCCCUCCAACAUCUACAAGGUGGAGGGCGGCUGCAUCACCAAGCUGGAGCAGUUCCUGGCCGACCACCUGCUGCUCAUGGGCGCGGUGGGCAUCGGGGUGGCCUGCCUGCAGAAAACUUGACGGAAAACACCUGGGGCCUGGGGCCACCUUGAACUUGUAAGGAAGAGAGCCCCGGGAGGAGUGGGAGUGUGGGCCCAGGUCUGCGGAAUGACCCUCACUUGCUGCUUCCACCGGAGGCUCCAGCUGCAUUCUUACUAACAUGCCCAGCCACGUCCCCUCCAGUUGCUCCCCUUGAGUUCAGGUGCCCAGAUCCCAUCGGCCGGGCCUGCGGGGUAACUCCCCACACUCUGUGCCAGCCCCUUCCGACCCACCGAGUGCCUGAGACUGUGGCUCCUGCAGCUCCACCCAGGCGGGGGGCCCUCGGCCUCCGCCCACCAACUCCGAGCGCUUGUUCCAGAAUCCCCAGGCAGGAUACGGAUCCCCUUGGGAGCCACAGCCAGAGCCUCGCCAGGUGUGGCCCCUGGGGACUCCACUGCCUCCCAGCUCCAGCCCCAGGCCCCUUGGGUACACCUGCGCUCGGUACGUGGCCCCCCCGUGAGUGCAGAGCGUUCCUCCUCCUGCCUCCGUGGCUCCAAAAGUGCAUCGGAUGCGGGGGUUCCAGACGGCUCUGCCCCCAGAAGCCCCAGCCCUCCCCUCCACCCUCCUCACCUGGAGGGGAGUGUGCCUGUGGUGGCCUGGUUCCUCCCUGCAGGGCCCAGGAGCCAGGUGGUGGGGAGCUGGGGUUGGGCUGCGGCAGGCAGGGUGGAGCCCCCCGGGACAGGGAGCAGGCGGCCCCCUUGCCCCCCCCCCCUGAGCAGUUCCCCUGGGAGACCACGGCCCCAGGCCCCGUCUCCAGCAGGUGCCCCUCGCGGGUCUCCUGUCUGUGGCCUGAUUCUCGGGAAGGCCAGGCUUUUAAAACCACUUUCAGCUCUUAAUGUUGGUGGGAGAAUCCUCCCUCCUGAUUAAACUGAAUCUCAGACCCUGCAAAGCUGGAGUCUCUGAGAAGGUGCAGCUCUGAGCAGAGGGGCGCUUUGCCCUGAACCUCCCUGUCCUGGCUCCUGGACCCCCCGGCCGCCUGCAGGGGCCCCGCUCCGCUUCCCGGAGUGGAUAGAGCCCCCGCUGAGGUUCUCUCCUUCAUCCCUGAGUUGCUGAACUUUCCCGAAGAGUGAGGGAGAACAGAAAGGAGGUCCUCGCAAAUACCGGGGACGGAUGCUGCCAGUUUUCCAAAGAACGCAUGUCAACUCGUAAGACAGCCGUGGGGCCCCUCCACGUGCCUGUCGCAAGUGGGCAGCUCCCAACACCAGAACCCACACCGGCUUCCCCGUCUCCCGGGUCCUGGUCCCCCUGCUCCUGCUUCCCAUCCCUGACAUGAGGCCCCCUGUGAUGCGGAGACCACGCUGGGAAAGGCCACACCUUGCCUCCCCCAUCCCUUGCUGACCCGGAUCGGUCCCAGGUGAAGGGUGUUUUCUUUCCCAUUCCUGGGUCAGUGCUGCCCCCAACACAGCUCCAACUGCACCGAGGCCGCACACCCCCAGAAGAGGCAUUGCCCUCAUGCACAGAGAAUCCCGGCCCCGGGCUCCCCCGGGGGACUGUCGGAGCCCUGGCUGCGCCAUCCUCCAGGGGGUCUCCAACGCGAAUUCAUUAAAAGAGAGACCGGCUUCCCAGCAACCCCAGGCCGCGCCGAGGCUGCAAAACCGUGCCCUGAUGAUCUCUGUGGCCCUCCGGCUCCCUGGGACUCCUGCCGACAAUCGAGAAAUGACCACGACUCCUAAGUCUCUGCAGGGCUGGGUAUCAGACUGACAAGUCUUACCACGUGAGGGCUGCAAGGGAGAGUGCUGUGUUCCUCCUGCCGAGGGGCCUGCGGGAGGCGGGGGUGGCAGGGGGUGUCGUGCUGGCCCGCGUCUGCCCCUGGUGGGGCCCCUGCGUUCUUCAUGGAGGUCAGCCGGGCUCGUGCAGGUGGCUUCAGGGUGAUGGGCGUGUGUGCCCUGCGCAGCCUUGUCCUGGGGGAGGCCCGCCUGGCUGAGGGCAGGGUUCGCUGUGAUUCUUCCCUGGGCACCAUCCCGCCCAGACGGCUGCUGCAGAGGGAGAGGACGGCCCAGAGCUUUCUGGAACUGUGACCUUAUUCGCGCCUGGGAGGUGAGACAGGGUUGGAGGGGACAGAAGCCCAGGAUAAGGCAGGUUCCGAUGGGGCACACAAAAAGACGAGUUGGGAGCGGGGAAGCCGUUCCCCGGAGCCAUGCCUGCCCUGCCUGUGAGGAAGCAGCUCUGCGCCCAGGACAGCCCCUCCUGGGUCCCUGCUCAGAGGUGUCACGGUCACGAGCUCCUUGGAGAGGGUAGGACACGAUGCUGGAAGCACACAGGGGUCCAGAAAAGAAGUCAGCGUUCUGCAGAGAUCUGGACACGGCAGGGGCCGGAGCCCGCACGGCGCCGGUCAGCACAUCCUCACCUGGAGCAGGCUGCCCUCCCUCAGCAGCCCUGUUUUCCCACCACCUUCUGCCUCGGGAGAGCCCCCUUUGUCUGUUUUGGUGCAAUGCACAGCCCCGCACUCACCCACAGCGUCCUGUGGGCCCCCUUCACCUGCAUAAGUGCCAGACACACCCCUACAAGUGCCUCGAAGAAUUCAUCGCAGGCAGCCUGGUGUCGGGGGCAGGCCAGCUCCUGGGACCCGCUGCCUCUGGAUAUGGGUGGUCACAAUGUUCUAGAUGUUGCCUUACCUACUGCGUACAGAGAUGGCUCUAGGUGUGAACACACCCCUCUCCUUAGCCUCAGCGUGAGCCCCACCUCUCAAGCCGGGCCGCGACAAUAAAGGGAUUGCAGCCCA